Non-coding RNA from Physcomitrium patens, 2086 nucleotides. NCBI's taxonomy places the organism in Eukaryota, Viridiplantae, Streptophyta, Bryopsida, Funariales, Funariaceae. The record is from RefSeq and is a predicted model, not a curated record.
UUGAAUUUCCGCCAGCAUAGCAAAUGAGAGUAUGCUACAUUUGGAGUGCUCAGUGCCGUCUUUGACAUGCCUCAAUUCUCCAUUCUUACAAAACUGAAGGCGCCUGGAGGUUGUCUAGACAGAGAGAUUAAUCGGCAAUGCAAGUCAAUUGGUUCUGUGUGGGAGAGAGUCUCUUUGAUUAUUGGCAUUUUCUUCGUUUUAAGGCAAAGUUGAGUAUGCUUUGCUGGUCCAUUUCUCGUCUGCUUACUGCAAAUUUGCAGUCAACCAAGUCCAUGUGACCUCUUCUCUUUGACUCUCUGAAAGUUGGAACCUAUGUGGUAUCAGUUACAGCCGCUACUACUUUGUGCUCUCAACGUUAGUCUGCUGCGAUCAAAACUUGUCCGAACUUGCAGCAGAUUUGUCAGAAACUUGUGACGAUAGCCGCAUCUGGGAGGCCUUUCUCUCCCACCAGCUUGUGGCGCUUACCGUUGUGAUCAAUCUCAACGAUGUGCUUGCGGAAGGAGAUUUUAGGGUCUUUCGCGAAUAGCCACUGCUGACCGAGGAUCACGUCAAUGUGUGCAAGAUCCAUGAUUCCGAAUGUGAUCAGAUCAAAGUAGGUUUGAAUUCUAAGCGGAACGUUUUUCACUUGUCGGUUCCAGAGCACGUUGGAGCCGUUCGGCAAGUGCACAACGUAGGGAUCCAAGGCAGUGGACUUUAGUUGCAACACCUUGACGACCGUGGAAUUUAUGAAAUUGUGGGUGCAUCCCGAAUCGAUCAACACCAUCACUUCCUUAGUCAUCGCCUUUCCUCUCAGCUUCAUGUGCUCCCAGCUCUGAAAAGCAUUUUCCUUGCCCUCGUCCUUGGAAUGCAAAUUGCUGAACUCAACAACCCACGUGGAUGGCUGCUUGAAGCCGUCAUGGCUUGCAAGCGUGGUUGGAUGCGACUUCACGGGCAGCAUCCGCGUUGCGAAGGGAGUGGACGUCUUGGGCCGGCUACUGGAGGCAGCUGCAGUCUCCAUCUUUGCGGUGGUCUCUAUAUGCUUCCAUAGCCUUUGCAAGCAACAUUUGUGUGAGGGUCGGAAUAGGAUUUUACAAAGAGUGCAUACAGCUAUCUUGUUCUCACUUGACGUCUCCUGCGUGGAAUUCUUCAUGGUCUCGGAUUGUAUUCUUACUGUGUCUCGCUACUAAACCUGUAACAUCUGUGUCGACAAAGCUCUUGUGCAGGACAAAGAUUUUCAAGUUUGUUCACAGGUUUGUUCCAAACAGGAAAUGCAAAGGGUUGUGUGUGUAGCAUUCCGAAGACACGACACUUUAUUUACUAAUUUGAAUCAAACACUUACCUGACAGGACGCACAGCUUCUGUUGAUUGGAAGGGGCUGGACAAUGUUACGAGUGCAAGUAUAUACUCCAGGCACCUGAGGGUUGCAGUUGAUGGGAUGCAACUGCGAGUGCAAGCUCUGAAAAAACAAAAAAAAGGUACAUACGGUGUAGAAAACUUACCUGUAAGCUGCUUCACGAACUCUGCUCUCAGCCACUACUCUUCAUGCCAUGAACUCUUCCAACAAAUCUGCAGAUCAACUGGAGUUUGUUCAAGACUUACUCAAAUUGUUGCUCAUCAUCUUGCUCAUGAAAACGAAGUGGUGGUGCAAGGGACGUCGGAGAGAGGCUCUCGCUUCAAGCUGCAAAUGUGUUUGUGUGGGUGAAGAGGCGUGACCUUUGGUAAGCAUUGCAGUAACGGUGUGAGUGGUUUUGACAUGCAUGGGGUGGAUCAUUCGAAACAACGGCGUCGAUUGACUAUCAAAGGAAACUUGUUGUUCUCACUUGUUCUUCAUGUGUCCACCAAUUGUUUCGAUUCUUGCAGCCUGCACUGACAACAGAAGCUUGCACUAAUUCAAGGUAAUUUUGUGGAGAGUCCAUUACAUCUUCCUGACAAACUAGACACAAUUUGCAUCAACACCUUCUUUGUUUUAGUUUAAAAACAUCCCAUCUUGAUUCCAAAAUUGAUGUUUUAGUCCCUAACACUUGCAUGUAUCAAUACCCACAUCCUCUGUAAAAACUGAUUUAGUGUAAUAUCUUCAUUUGGUAUGUGAUCCAUUCUAGAAAUGUCA